GCACCCGUAGCUCAGCUGGAUAGAGCACCAGACUACGAAUCUGGGGGUCAGAGGUUCGAAUCCUCUCGGGUGUGCCA
This 77-nucleotide transfer RNA is filed under the name Henriciella barbarensis. RNAcentral's name for it is "tRNA-Arg". It matches the Rfam family "tRNA". From Rfam's summary of the family: Transfer RNA (tRNA) molecules are approximately 80 nucleotides in length. RNAcentral also lists the same sequence under 8 other names. The record is from RNAcentral. Lineage: Bacteria; Pseudomonadati; Pseudomonadota; Alphaproteobacteria; Hyphomonadales; Hyphomonadaceae.